UGAAGCACAAUGAAGAAAUGAGGGGAAGAUUACUAUCUUCAAAGAAGAGAACUGGAGGGCUGGUUCAAAUAGUCGAGUGUAGUGGAGACUACUGGAAGGAUUGGGAUUAGAGAAAUCUUUAUAUUGUGUAAUCUUUUGUACUGUUUGAAAUCUGAACCUUAUGAAUAAAUAACACUC
Molecule: long non-coding RNA, 177 nt
Organism: Dipodomys ordii (Ord's kangaroo rat)
Lineage: Eukaryota; Metazoa; Chordata; Mammalia; Rodentia; Heteromyidae
Exons: 3
Source: RefSeq, a predicted model, not a curated record